This 289-nucleotide long non-coding RNA is filed under the name Hordeum vulgare. RNAcentral describes it as "long non-coding RNA (HVUL_LNC007627)". The record is from RNAcentral. Lineage: Eukaryota; Viridiplantae; Streptophyta; Magnoliopsida; Poales; Poaceae.
CUGGUGUGGCUGUCGUACGACCGCGCGCGCGGAGAGUGGAGGUGGGUGCCGGUGCCGGACUGGGGCGGCGCCAAGGGCCUCAACAUGGCCGGCAUCGCCGUGUCGUCCACCUUCUCCCGUCUCUGGCCGCCGGCGCCAACCAUCUGCCGCUGAAGCGAACCGUGUCAUGUCUUGCCCGUACGUGUUGCUUGUGUCUGUACGUACGUACAGUGGGCAAGGUAGCGUGGGGGAUUAUCGUUCUUGGUUCUUGGGAGAGGUGUUUGGCCAGACGUGGCAACAAAGGCCCCCA